CAGAAACAAAGUUAAUGAAUUUAACAAAAAAACAACUAGUGAAACGAUAUUUGGCGUAUAAAAGGACUAUUAACGUUGAAGUUAAUAAAUUCAAAUCAGAUUGUGCUUAAUUUAAAGCAGAAUUAUUAGCAGAAAGGG
Daphnia pulicaria is the source of this 138-nucleotide long non-coding RNA. RefSeq lists it as uncharacterized. The record is from RefSeq and is a predicted model, not a curated record. Lineage: Eukaryota; Metazoa; Arthropoda; Branchiopoda; Diplostraca; Daphniidae. The transcript is spliced from 2 exons.